Molecule: ribosomal RNA, 803 nt
Filed under: Salinibacterium sp. SP028
Lineage: Bacteria; Bacillati; Actinomycetota; Actinomycetes; Micrococcales; Microbacteriaceae
Description: bacterial SSU rRNA
Rfam family: Bacterial small subunit ribosomal RNA
Source: RNAcentral
AGCUCGUAGGCGGUUUGUCGCGUCUGCUGUGAAAACUGGGGGCUCAACCCCCAGCCUGCAGUGGGUACGGGCAGACUAGAGUGCGGUAGGGGAGAUUGGAAUUCCUGGUGUAGCGGUGGAAUGCGCAGAUAUCAGGAGGAACACCAAUGGCGAAGGCAGAUCUCUGGGCCGUUACUGACGCUGAGGAGCGAAAGCAUGGGGAGCGAACAGGAUUAGAUACCCUGGUAGUCCAUGCCGUAAACGUUGGGAACUAGAUGUAGGGACCAUUCCACGGUUUCUGUGUCGCAGCUAACGCAUUAAGUUCCCCGCCUGGGGAGUACGGCCGCAAGGCUAAAACUCAAAGGAAUUGACGGGGGCCCGCACAAGCGGCGGAGCAUGCGGAUUAAUUCGAUGCAACGCGAAGAACCUUACCAAGACUUGACAUAUACGAGAACGGGCUAGAAAUAGUCAACUCUUUGGACACUCGUAAACAGGUGGUGCAUGGUUGUCGUCAGCUCGUGUCGUGAGAUGUUGGGUUAAGUCCCGCAACGAGCGCAACCCUCGUUCUUUGUUGCCAGCACGUAAUGGUGGGAACUCAAAGGAGACUGCCGGGGUCAACUCGGAGGAAGGUGGGGAUGACGUCAAAUCAUCAUGCCCCUUAUGUCUUGGGCUUCACGCAUGCUACAAUGGCCGAUACAAAGGGCUGCAAUACCGCAAGGUGGAGCGAAUCCCAAAAAGUCGGUCUCAGUUCGGAUUGAGGUCUGCAACUCGACCUCAUGAAGUCGGAGUCGCUAGUAAUCGCAGAUCAGCAACGCUGCGGUGAA